Onychostruthus taczanowskii (white-rumped snowfinch) is the source of this 691-nucleotide long non-coding RNA. RefSeq lists it as uncharacterized. The record is from RefSeq and is a predicted model, not a curated record. Lineage: Eukaryota; Metazoa; Chordata; Aves; Passeriformes; Passeridae. The transcript is spliced from 3 exons.
UCCGCGGGGCAGCGCCGUGCUGCCGCUCCGCAGGGCCCGGCUGACCCCGCGGGAGCUUCCCCGGUGCCCCGCGGGUCCCUGCCCAGCCCCCGCCCGGGCAGGGGCUGCCGCGCCGUCAGACCGCGAUCGAGCGCGAUCGUGGUGCCCGUGCCCGGCUCCGUGGAGGUGUCACGGCGCUGGGCACAUCGCGCUGGAAGUGCUGUGUCAUUGUGCCAGAGGGCUGGGAACAAGUGCGGGAGAAGUUUACUGCUUUUUGACACUGGAGAUGAGAAUCGCAAGGCAGAGGAGGGACAAGGGCCGGAAACUUGAGCGUAAGGUGGAAAAAUGUGUGAAAAUGAAAUGCUGCGCUCUGUAGUUACUCUUAGUCUCUUUACCUAUUGAAGCACAGAUAUAUAUAUAUGCUAUUUUGUUUUUCGUAGGUACAAAUAUACUUAGUAAGGAAGUUAAAUUCAAUAAAACAACACAGUGUCCCAGAGAUAGUCUUGAAAACAUCCCUAUUAGGAUUGGACUGGUUUAGAUGAAGAUGAAGAUGCACAUGUCUGGGAAGACAACUGGGAUGAUGACAAUGUAGAAGAUGAUUUCUCGAAUCAGUUAAGAGCUGAAUUAGAAAAACAUGGAUACAAGAUGGAAACGUCAUAGCUUUUGCAGAAUAUGGAGUGGUUUAACACUGAACUGUGGAUAGACUUUAUUG